RNAcentral lists this ribosomal RNA (289 nucleotides) under uncultured bacterium. RNAcentral describes it as "partial 16S ribosomal RNA". It matches the Rfam family "Bacterial small subunit ribosomal RNA", at positions 333 to 636 of the family's 1533-position model. The record is from RNAcentral.
UGAUUCCUACGGGGGGCAGCAGUGGGGAAUAUUGGGCAAUGGGCGCAAGCCUGACCCAGCAACGCCGCGUGAAGGAAGAAGGCUUUCGGGUUGUAAACUUCUUUUCUCAGGGACGAAGAAAGUGACGGUACCUGAGGAAUAAGCCACGGCCAACUACGUGCCAGCAGCCGCGGUAAUACGUAGGUGGCAAGCGUUAUCCGGAUUUACUGGGUGUAAAGGGCGUGUAGGCGGGGAAGCAAGUCAGAUGCGAAAACCAAGGGCUCAACCUGUGGCCUGCAUUUGAAACUGU